Molecule: transfer RNA, 21 nt
Filed under: Nicrophorus humator
Lineage: Eukaryota; Metazoa; Arthropoda; Insecta; Coleoptera; Silphidae
Description: partial tRNA-Leu
Source: RNAcentral
GUUUAUACUUUUUUUAGAAAA